GUAGGUGGCAAGCGUUGUCCGGAAUUAUUGGGCGUAAAGCGCGCGCAGGCGGUUCUUUAAGUCUGAUGUGAAAGCCCACGGCUCAACCGUGGAGGGUCAUUGGAAACUGGAGAACUUGAGUACAGAAGAGGAAAGCGGAAUUCCACGUGUAGCGGUGAAAUGCGUAGAGAUGUGGAGGAACACCAGUGGCGAAGGCGGCUUUCUGGUCUGUAACUGACGCUGAGGCGCGAAAGCGUGGGGAGCAAACAGGGGGUUAGAUACCCUGGUAGUCCACGCCGUAAACGAUGAGUGCUAAGUGUUAGGGGGUUUCCCGCCCCUUAGUGCUGCAGCUAACGCAUUAAGCACUCCGCCUGGGGAGUACGCCGCAAGGCUG
RNAcentral lists this ribosomal RNA (373 nucleotides) under uncultured organism. RNAcentral describes it as "partial 16S ribosomal RNA". It matches the Rfam family "Bacterial small subunit ribosomal RNA", at positions 527 to 896 of the family's 1533-position model. The record is from RNAcentral.